This 253-nucleotide ribosomal RNA is filed under the name uncultured bacterium. Its description in RNAcentral is "partial 16S ribosomal RNA". It matches the Rfam family "Bacterial small subunit ribosomal RNA", at positions 524 to 776 of the family's 1533-position model. The record is from RNAcentral.
UACGUAGGGUGCAAGCGUUGUCCGGAAUUAUUGGGCGUAAAGAGCUCGUAGGCGGUCUGUCGCGUCGGCUGUGAAAACCCGCGGCUCAACCUCGGGCCUGCAGUCGAUACGGGCAGACUAGAGUGCGGUAGGGGAGACUGGAAUUCCUGGUGUAGCGGUGAAAUGCGCAGAUAUCAGGAGGAACACCAAUGGCGAAGGCAGCUCGCUGGGACGUGACUGACGCUGAGACGCGAAAGCGUGGGGAGCAAACAGG